CUCUAGGAAAUGGCUGGUUCACAGUGAGUUAUCACUGACAUGGAAUGAAUUCCAUAAAUGGAAUUCAGUCAAGUUCCAUCUCUAAACACCAGGUCUGAGGAGACUUCUUAAAUGUAAGUCAUUUGGGUAUUAUUAAUAUAUACAUUAGUGAAGAUUUUUCUGCAUUCAAACA
RNAcentral lists this long non-coding RNA (172 nucleotides) under Parus major (Great Tit). RNAcentral describes it as "lncRNA (ENSPMJG00000003811.1)". The record is from RNAcentral. Lineage: Eukaryota; Metazoa; Chordata; Aves; Passeriformes; Paridae.